RNAcentral lists this ribosomal RNA (732 nucleotides) under Neocallimastigaceae sp. Its description in RNAcentral is "partial large subunit ribosomal RNA". It matches the Rfam family "Eukaryotic large subunit ribosomal RNA", at positions 72 to 654 of the family's 3401-position model. Lineage: Eukaryota; Fungi; Neocallimastigomycota; Neocallimastigomycetes; Neocallimastigales; Neocallimastigaceae. The record is from RNAcentral.
GCAUCCUUAGUACGGCGAGUGAAGCGGGAAGAGCUCAAAUUUGAAAUCUUCAAGGUUUGACCUUGACGAAUUGUAGUUUAUAGAAGUGUUUUCUGUUGGAGUUUUGGUAAAAGUUCUUUGGAAUAGGACAUCAUAGAGGGUGAGAAUCCCGUAUUUGACCAUGACUUUCCAGCUGUGUGAUACACUUUCAAAGAGUCGGAUUGUUUGGGAAUGCAGUCCAAAAUGGGUGGUAAAUUUCAUCUAAAGCUAAAUAUUGGCGAGAGACCGAUAGCGAACAAGUACCGUGAGGGAAAGAUGAAAAGAACUUUGAAAAGAGAGUUAAACAGUACGUGAAAUUGUCAAAAGGGAAGCGUUUGACACCAGUGUUGUUUUCUCGAAAAUCAAUUUAAUGAGUUCUUGUUUUUAAGUUAUUGUGACUUUAUCAGCGCAUUUCUUAUUUUACUUGACUCAUUGAAUGCACUUUUCGUUUAACAAGUCAACAUCAAUUUCUUUGGUGGUAAAAAGUUUAAAGGAAGGUGGCUUGGACUUCGGUUCAAGUGUUUAUAGCCUUUUUUCUAUGCCAUCGGAGAGAUUGAGGUCUGCAGCGUAGAUCCUUCGGGGUUAGAUACCUUUGUGCUAAGUUAUAGUUUUUUAUAGACAACUUGUUGACUAUAAUUAACCCUGUAAUUUACUCGCUUAGGCUAUUUUACCUACGCUUAGGAUGUUGACAAAAUGGUUUUAAACGACCCGUCU